Molecule: non-coding RNA, 931 nt
Organism: Lupinus albus (white lupine)
Lineage: Eukaryota; Viridiplantae; Streptophyta; Magnoliopsida; Fabales; Fabaceae
Source: the annotation of a GenBank genome assembly
GUUUGUUGAUAACAGCAGGGAGGAAUUGGACUUGGGCUUGUCCUUGUUUUUACCUUCUGUGAUAUGCAUAAAUGUUAUAUCCUCUUAAGAUUUGGAAUUUAGAUGUGGUUCUCAUCUAGUUUCCCCUUAUACUAACUUUAAUGACCUUUUCUUCAUAUUAAUGAAGGCACUAGCCCUUGGAGACACUGUAAGUUUGAACUCAUAUGGGGAAGGAGAAUAUUGGAGGUUAACCCAUCUCAAUCCACUAUCAAAGAUUUGAAUAUAAGGCUCUUGUAUUUAGUUCUGAUUAGAUUAUAUUAUAACAUAUUUUAGUUCCUAUGGAAACAUGAAGCACUUUAAGAAGGUUGUGAGCAUCUUUUCCAAAUAUGUAUUAUCUUUGUGGGGAAUGUAGGAGUAUUUAAGCUGUUGAUAACUCGUUUAGUAUAUUUAUGUCAGAAUUGGAGUGUUACACGUAUCACUCUGGUCAACUACGUUUAUUUUCUAUAAUUUUUUUUCUUCUAACUCAUAUCAAUGAAGUAGAGAGAACAAACAAGUUCUUUACUAAUUCAAAAAACUAUUGAGGGCAAUAUUUACUUUGUCCUUCAAAUCAUUUUAUAGGAUUAUACGUAGUCUUUGUUGUUUUUUCUUUGCUAGAAUUUCCAAAUACUUGUAACUGAAAUUGCUUGCAAAAACAAUCUUGUUUAACUAUUUUUAUUUUAUUGUAGGCUGCCAACAAAAAAUGCCUCUGACAACACUGAUGCUAAGAGAGAUGUUGAACUUUUAUAUGAUACAGCUCUGAUUUCUAGUGGAGAAUAGAAGAGGAAGAAAGUUUUGGAGAAUGAUUAAGUUUGUUGUUGUGCAGUCAUUGUGGCUUUUACGGAAUGACAUCUUAUUUUCCAAUAGGAACGUGAGAAGAGGUGGAGAGAAUGAUGUUGAGAGGUGGAGAGAAUGA